CAUGCUAGACGAGUUUGAUCCUGCCUCAGAACGAACGCUGGCGGCAUGCCUAACACAUGCAAGUCGAACGAAGGCUUCGGCCUUAGUGGCGCACGGGUGCGUAACGCGUGGGAACCUGCCCCUCGGUUCGGAAUAACAGUUAGGAAAUGACUGCUAAUACCGGAUGAUGACUUCGGUCCAAAGAUUUAUCGCCGAGGGAUGGCCCGCGUAGGAUUAGCUAGUUGGUGGGGUAAAGGCCUACCAAGGCGACGAUCCUUAGCUGGUCUGAGAGGAUGAUCAGCCACACUGGGACUGAGACACGGCCCAGACUCCUACGGGAGGCAGCAGUGGGGAAUAUUGGACAAUGGGCGAAAGCCUGAUCCAGCAAUGCCGCGUGAGUGAUGAAGGCCUUAGGGUUGUAAAGCUCUUUCAGAUGGGAAGAUAAUGACGGUACCAUCAGAAGAAGCCCCGGCUAACUCCGUG
Molecule: ribosomal RNA, 462 nt
Filed under: uncultured bacterium
Lineage: Bacteria
Description: bacterial SSU rRNA
Rfam family: Bacterial small subunit ribosomal RNA
Source: RNAcentral